RNAcentral lists this ribosomal RNA (497 nucleotides) under uncultured bacterium. RNAcentral's name for it is "partial 16S ribosomal RNA". It matches the Rfam family "Bacterial small subunit ribosomal RNA", at positions 28 to 507 of the family's 1533-position model. The record is from RNAcentral.
GAUGAACGCUGGCGGCGUGCCUAAUACAUGCAAGUCGAGCGAACAGAUGAGGAGCUUGCUCCUCUGACGUUAGCGGCGGACGGGUGAGUAACACGUGGAUAACCUACCUAUAAGACUGGGAUAACUUCGGGAAACCGGAGCUAAUACCGGAUAAUAUAUUGAACCGCAUGGUUCAAUAGUGAAAGACGGUUUUGCUGUCACUUAUAGAUGGAUCCGCGCCGCAUUAGCUAGUUGGUAAGGUAACGGCUUACCAAGGCAACGAUGCGUAGCCGACCUGAGAGGGUGAUCGGCCACACUGGAACUGAGACACGGUCCAGACUCCUACGGGAGGCAGCAGUAGGGAAUCUUCCGCAAUGGGCGAAAGCCUGACGGAGCAACGCCGCGUGAGUGAUGAAGGUCUUCGGAUCGUAAAACUCUGUUAUUGGGGAAGAACAAAUGUGUAAGUAUCUAUGCACGUCUUGACGGUACCUAAUCAGAAAGCCACGGCUAACUACGUG